Molecule: ribosomal RNA, 468 nt
Filed under: uncultured bacterium
Lineage: Bacteria
Description: partial 16S ribosomal RNA
Rfam family: Bacterial small subunit ribosomal RNA
Source: RNAcentral
GACGAACGCUGGCGGUGUGCUUAACACAUGCAAGUCGAACGGAAAGGCCCUGCUUUUUUGGUGUGAUCGAGGGGCGAACGGGUGCGUAACACGUGAGUAACCUGCCCUUGACUUUGGGAUAACUUCAGGAAACUGAGGCUAAUACCGGACAGGAGCUCCUGCUGCAUGGUGGGGGUUGGAAAGUUUCGGCGGUUGGGGAUGGACUCGCGGCUUAUCAGCUUGUUGGUGGGGUAGUGGCUUACCAAGGCUUUGACGGGUAGCCGGCCUGAGAGGGUGACCAGCCACAUGGGGACUGAGGUACGGCCCAGACUCGUACGUGAGGCAGCAGUGGGGAAUAUUGCACAGUGAGCGGAAGCCUGAUGCAGCAACGCCGCGUGCGGGAUGACGGCCUUCUGGUUGUAAACCGCUUCCGGCUGUGACGAAGCGUGAGUGACGGUAAUGGAUAAAGAAGCACCGGCUAACUACGUG